AGCUAUAUAGGUUAAAGGUAGAGCGCUCUUCUAACUAAAGAAAAGAUCUAGGUUUAAGUCCUACUAUAGUUA
Molecule: transfer RNA, 72 nt
Filed under: Colletotrichum chlorophyti
Lineage: Eukaryota; Fungi; Ascomycota; Sordariomycetes; Glomerellales; Glomerellaceae
Rfam family: tRNA
About the family: Transfer RNA (tRNA) molecules are approximately 80 nucleotides in length.
Source: Rfam by way of RNAcentral